Molecule: ribosomal RNA, 467 nt
Filed under: uncultured bacterium
Lineage: Bacteria
Description: partial 16S ribosomal RNA
Rfam family: Bacterial small subunit ribosomal RNA
Source: RNAcentral
GAUGAACGCUGGCGGCGUGCUUAACACAUGCAAGUCGAACGGAAAGGCCCAAGCUUGCUUGGGUACUCGAGUGGCGAACGGGUGAGUAACACGUGGGUGAUCUGCCCUGCACUUCGGGAUAAGCCUGGGAAACUGGGUCUAAUACCGGAUAGGACGAUGGUUUGGAUGCCAUUGUGGAAAGUUUUUUCGGUGUGGGAUGAGCUCGCGGCCUAUCAGCUUGUUGGUGGGGGAAUGGCCUACCAAGGCGUCGACGGGUAGCCGGCCUGGGAGGGUGUACGGCCACAUUGGGACUGAGAUACGGCCCAGACUCCUACGGGGGGCAGCAGUGGGGAAUAUUGCACAAUGGGCGCAAGCCUGAUGCAGCGACGCCGCGUGGGGGAUGACGGCCUUCGGGUUGUAAACUCCUUUCGCUAGGGACGAAGCGUUUUGUGACGGUACCUGGAGAAGAAGCACCGGCUAACUACGUG